RNAcentral lists this ribosomal RNA (389 nucleotides) under uncultured bacterium. RNAcentral describes it as "bacterial SSU rRNA". It matches the Rfam family "Bacterial small subunit ribosomal RNA", at positions 29 to 431 of the family's 1533-position model. The record is from RNAcentral.
AACGAACGCUGGCGGCAGGCCUAACACAUGCAAGUCGAACGCCGUAGCGAUACGGAGUGGCAGACGGGUGAGUAACGCGUGGGAACAUACCCCUCGGUUCGGAAUAACUCAGGGAAACUUGAGCUAAUACCGGAUAAGUCCGAGGUUUUAAUCGACCUUGGAGAAAGAUUUAUCGCCGGAGGAUUGGCCCGCGUCUGAUUAGCUUGUUGGUGAGGUAAUGGCUCACCAAGGCGACGAUCAGUAGCUGGUCUGAGAGGAUGAUCAGCCACAUUGGGACUGAGACACGGCCCAAACUCCUACGGGAGGCAGCAGUGGGGAAUAUUGGACAAUGGGCGAAAGCCUGAUCCAGCCAUGCCGCGUGAGUGAACAAGGCCUGCGGGUUGUAAAGC